GCACUCCACAUGAAGCCCUCAUGGGGAAGAGAGAACUAGAGGGAUGGGACAGAGUAAGGAGAAGGAGGAGUAUGGUAUACAGGCCCUGGGUAUUGCAGAGAUGUCAAGGACAGUGAAGAGGCAGAUAUCAGAGGCAUUCCUAGCAUGCUGACUUCAUGAGGUCUGCUGUAGCUACAGGAUAGCAGUGCUUGACAACUUGGCAUGUGGGAUUGAAGGACACACUGUACCCCGUGUUGUUGUGUGCUUGACAACUUGGCAUGUGGGAGCAAAGGACACACUGUGCCCCGCGUUGUUUUGUGCUUGACAACUUGGCAUGUGGGAGUGAAGGACACACUGUGCCCCGCGUUGUUGUGUGCUUGACAACUUGGCAUGUAGGAGCGAAGGACACACUGUGCCCUGCGUUGUUGUGUGCUUGACAACUUGGCAUGUGGGAGCGAAGGACACAAUGUGCCCCGCGUUGUUGUGUGCUUGACAACUUGGCAUGUGGGAGCGAAGGACACACUGUGCCCCGCGUUGUUGUGUGCUUGCAGUGCAAAUUUUCCCCAUUGAGCAGUAGACUGUAUCACGGUGACAUCUUGAUGGUUACUACCAAUAUUACAAGUUAUUUCUUGUGUAGGAUGCUAUCCUAUUUGAAAUAUAAUCAAGUGGGGUGGAACAAAUUGGGGCAUAAGCUAC
This is a long non-coding RNA of Oncorhynchus tshawytscha (Chinook salmon), 675 nucleotides long. NCBI's taxonomy places the organism in Eukaryota, Metazoa, Chordata, Actinopteri, Salmoniformes, Salmonidae. The record is from Ensembl.